UUUGUCGUGGAUUUGUCACGGCAGAUGUCCUAGCAUAAGGACUUAGUCGUGGAGCCAUCGCUACGGGUUUACUUGUAGGGGUUAAAGCGGACACAAAGACACGAGAGUUUUAUACUAGUUCGGCCCCUUCGAUGAAGGUAAAAGCCUACGUCUAGUUGUGAUGGAAUUGAUGUAGUCUCGAUGGCUAGGGAGCAAAUAAGCUUCGCCUAGGCUCGAGUUGUGGUUGUCUGUCCUUGAACCGCCGCCGGGUCGUCCCCUUAUAUACACGAGUGACGCCCGUCGGUUCGUAGAGUCCCAACCGGUUCAUACUCGUAUCCCGGUUGGUAUCUCUCUAUUCCUAACUUACAACACAAGUCAUAUAUCAGGCCGGUUUACGGCUACAAGUUCCAAACCAACUACAGGCCUUGGGCCUUUCUAUGAUUACACCACCAGCGGAGCUAACCCGGCCCAAGCUUGGCCGGUUUACACCUAGUAGUAAUAUCCCCAACAUUAGGCCCCAGAUUGAUUUGAACUGGUUCAUGUCAAUCCUUCACAGAACCUGCAUCUUGGACAUCUUCUUUGUUUAAUAAACUGUCACAUCGUCAUUGCUUCUGAUCAUUGUAAACCGGCAUGACAUCAUUGCUUCUGGUAACUGUAAACCGGCAUGACGUCAUCUUGAAGUUUAUCCUUUUAUAACGCCUUCCUUAAUGACAGUCCCUGAUUCACGCGCUUGACCUAGCUUUACUGCCUUAUAAAUAGGACCGAAGGGUCAUUCUGUUUUUCCCUUCGCUUCCUCUUCUUCUUCUUCCUCGCGCCGCUGCCUUUGGAGCUCCACCGUCGUCAUCAACUUCUGCUUCGUCCUAGGCCGCUGCAUCAACCUGUACGGACCAGAAUACUGCGGCCUUUCUCCGCAGCUCCUCCGUUUCCGGUAAGCUUCUUGCCCUUCUUCAAUCUGUUUCCUCAUUUUAGAUCUGUUUCUAGGGUUCGAGCUUCAUACCAUGUUCUUCGUAUGUUUUCAUCUUUCUAGCCUUGAGUCAUGCUAUGAAUCCCGUUCUGUACCAAACGACGACUCCUGCGUAUCCGCUGCACUUUCUCAUCUUAAUCCCAUAGAUCUUCUGCAUAUAUAUACAUACACCUUAUAGUGCACUUCCUGUUUCUUCUUUACUUCCGCGACGCAUUUCCUGUUUGCUGAAAAACCCACGUUUGAUCCGUAGUAAACAUGAAUUUUUGUGAAACCUGUUUCUGUCCAUGACUUCAAUUACCUUCGAAGCCAAGAUUAGGCGGUUUAACUCACCAUAGUAAAAAGUUGCUAAACCGGUAUCGGUACACCAUUAGUCCCCUUGUUGAACCGCCAGAACGUAUCUGACAUCAUCUCAUAACGAACUGAUUUAUAGGAACCGCCUCCGGUUUAUCAUAACUUAGAUCAAUCACUCUGUAAUAAGCACUUUCUUAAACCGGAUCCUUCUCCUUGUAGAUCUUAUGAUGGCCAAACAGGUGUACGAAUGCAACUGGGUUCCUUCCCGCGUCUCCGAGACACAGUUGAAAGAACUGGUAUCGAUCGGCGCUUUAGAUGAUCAAAACACAAUCCAUUGGAGGGUUCCUAGAGAGGAAUGUCCUCCCACACCUCAGGAAGGAGAAGUUGUAGUUUUUGCGGAUCACCUGGCCCGGGGUUUCAAACCGCCCGGGUCAAAAUUUUACCGGGACGUGAUGGCCAAUUUUCAGCUUCGUCCCCAAGACAUCGGCCCCAACUCCGUUACUAACCUUUGCCACUUUCAAGUACUGUCCGAAGCAUAUCUGCAAGAGGAACCUUCCAUUGAACUAUUCAGAGAUCUUUUCCACCUAAACCGUCGAACUGAAUUCACCGACGGCCCCAAUACAGAAUUGGGCGGUAUGGCUAUCCAGAAGAGGAAGGAGAUCACUUAUCCCCAUGUCAAACUCCAUACUCACCCCAAAGAGUGGAAUGUGACUUGGUUCUAUUGCAAAGAUACUUCUCCUGAAGGCGAAAAUCCUUUACCUGGCUUCCGUCCAGAGCGGUUAAGCAAUACUCAUCCUUUUCCUCAAAGACUGACUGCCAAAGAAAGAAGCAAAUAUGCCCCACAACUAUCCAAACUCCGCGCUUUCAUGGCCAACGGUUUGACUGGAAUCGAUCUUGCACGCUGCUGGCUAUCUUGGGGCAUACUGCCUUUGAGCCGGCGUUCCGGUUUAAUGUGCCAAUAUACCGGCAGUGUCGACGACCCACUCCGACACACCAAACUGGAACUGUCUGAAGAUGAAGUUACGGAUUCAGUAAGGAAAAUGCUGAAUGAACCGGAGCAUCUCUGUGCUCAAACCGGCUUGGCUCCUUACUGCACCAUCAACGCACCACCUGCGGUAAGUCUCUGACUGUGUCAUUAUAAAAACCCAUUGUUACUUUCAUAUGUCCAACUCUCAAUUAUUUCUGAUCCAGGGCGACAAUCCGUUUUGGAGCAAAAAACUCUCUCAAGACAAAGCGGAUAAAGCUGGGCGGCCAAUUCGGCCCAAAACAAAAGUUGUCAAGAAAUCCGCCCACAAGAGGAAGACUACUGCUUCGUCUGAUCCGGCCAUUGAUGAUGAUGUGGGUAAUCCGGAACUUGAUUCUCUUGGCUUGUUUUUUACACGUCUUAUUGAUGACGAUGCUUGUCAGGAUGACGCUGAAGCCAGCAACGCAGGAUUUGCUGAGGUAACCAUUCUCUCUUCCGAUUCAACAAAUUUGCCUUCACCAAAAUUUCGCCGGGCAAACCGGAAAGUUAACUUUUCUCACCCUCUUGCUUACUUGGAUCCCAAACUUCUUAUGAAGACACAGCAACAUGAAGCUCGUCGCACAACCCGGCACAGCGGACAGGUAGUUACCUCUGCCGGUUUACCAAACAGCCCGGCUCGAAAGCGCCGCACCGAGGUUUCCAACCUUUUUAUUGCCUUAAAUUCCAAAGCGGGUUUGUUCCGUCAACCUCUUAAUCCGUCCGACUCCGAUUAUCAGGUCACCUCCCAUUCAUCCUCUGGCGAAUCGUCAGCCACUCAGCUACCACCGUUGAAGAUAGCCGUCGGGUAAGUUCAUACAGCCAUAUGCUUUUCGAUUUCUUCUGCAAUGUAUACGCCUUGCUCCUGAAUCUUUGUUUCUUCAGAACCAAACCGAAACCCAGCAAGAAGGCUCGCUUGGAAAAAACAGCUGAAGAGGCUGCCGCUUCAGAUCAUGAGCGGGCGCCAGAUCUCAAAAAUGCUGCCCCUGAAGAUAUUCCAAAUGACCCUCCGGUUCAAGAAGAUGUUAUUCCUGAGGAGAGGCCUGUGAAUGUUUCAAUGUCUGUUGAUCCACCUGCCAGUACUGUCCGGUCUGAAAAGCCUCACAGUCCUACUGAAACAGCUCUGCCCACACGAUCCGUCGAAUCGAAAGAUGACGACGUUGUAAUUACUGGAACAGGCCACUCUGAACCGGGGAACGCUGCAACUCUAACCCGGCAUACUGUGAAGGAGGAUUUUUCAACUUGGAACAAAGGAAAGUGGGCUGCCGAGCUAGAAACAUAUGCCGCUUUAAGCGCCCAAGAUCUUCACUCUGGAUACCUGAACCGGCUCUAUAGUAGCCGUGAUUAUGAAGCUGGCUUGGUGAAAUUAAUGAGAGACAAGUUUGAGGUAACACUCUUUUCCUUAUUACCAGUAUAGUAGUCCUUGUAGCCCCCAAGGGCCGGUUUAUGAUCUUUGAUCAAACUGGGACUUGAUAAUUUUCUUUGAUAGACUUUGCAAUCCUCCCUCAUAGCCACCAGGGCCGGUUUAACGAUGCAUACUUAAACCGGUACUCAAAAACUUCCUGACAACACUUUAAUAGAAUCAAAUAGUCAUUAGCCCCCAAGUGCCGAGCUGAAUACUCGUAUUCAACUUGGGACUUUGCCAUGUAUUAGCAGUAGAAAGAUUGAAGGUACAUUAGCCCCCAAGUGUCAAGCAUAUAACUGUGUUGUAUGGUUGAGACUUUAACUUGAAUUGUUGGCUGAUCAAACUAUCAAUGCGCAGGCUGAGGUGAAGAUCAAGGAUGAUCGGAUUGCCGAUUUACAGGCGGCUUUGAAAACCCAGCAGGCCGAGACAGAAAAAGCCAAGAAGGAGCUAACCAGCGCCUUGACUGCUGCUGAACAGGUGAAGGAAAACAUGAAGAAGGAACAGGCAGUCUGGGCCACCGAAAAGGCUAACUUGCUCAAACGGGCAGAAAAUGCUGAAGCUGCCCUUAAACCGGUGGUGGAUGAUCUGACAGCCGUGAAGCGGCAAGUACAUUCUAUGACGGCAGCCAUCUUCGGUGAGUUCCUUGUGAAUAAGUGUAAUAUGCUGUUCCUGCUGCACCAUUAUUCCGGUUUAAAACUAUCCUGUUAUCAAAUGCAGGCACACGCGUUGGGCACUUGGGAAAUGACGUGCGGAAGAAACUGAAGGCUGUCUACACUUUAGUGGAACAGCUGUAUACCGGAGCCCAGCGCGUGAUUACCACAAUGUCACAUAACAAUCCAGCGCCGUCCCUGAUCCAAGAUACCCUGAACCGGCUUUCCAUCCUUCCUUCCCGGAUUGAAGAGGUGAAGAAAUCUGCUGCACGAACCGGAGCCAUCAACGCCUUGAUCCGAGCCAAAGCCUGGGUGCCGGAUUUUGAUCCCGUGGAAGCAGCUCAAGGCUAUCCCAGUGUGAAGGAAGACGGCUCGGACUUCAGUGAAGAGGACUUGCGUGCGAUAAACCGUGCGGUACGCUCGCUGGCUUGUCAAUUGGUGGAAGAAGCCGAUUUGGAGCACUACCAAGCCCAAUACAAUGAGCAGAACAAGCGUGUGCCCGCUCCAACCUUUGAACCAGAAAACUUGAUCCCUCCAAUCCGUAAGCACACUUACGCUCCUGACAUUGAACCGUCGUCUCUGAUUCACGAAGAGGCUGUUUUCCAAGCGCUAAUGGGAAUCGACUGGACUACUGUGGAUUUCCAGCCAAUGGAUAGAGACGAAGAUGCUGAAGCGGCGGGAGAUGAGGAACAAUCUUGAACCGGUAGCCGGCUUAACCCAAAGAACAAUGACCUCAUUCGGGCACUGUGUUGCCUUGUAAUAGCCUUAGUUAAAACUUGCUGCCUGGAUAUGCCUUUGUGCAUAGAUGAAACUUUUGUUUAAGUCACACUCCCUGCAACCAAAAAAUUGAACCUCGGCGGCGGUGACCCCGCCCGCCGGUUUAUGGCAUCCAAUAUAUUUUGUGUAUCGAAAAAUCAAUUAGUAUGCGAUACAAAUACCUGUCGUAUCAAGGCAUGAAGCUGGUAUAGCCAAUCUUGAAGCGGAGGCCUUUAAAAACCAUGACCGUCUGGGGAGACAAUAACUCCUACAUAGGCGUGCUGAAACGGCACAAGCCCCCGUGUUACUCCAUAAGGAUGAACCGGAAAAAGGUAAACCGAGCAGAGAAAAACUACGGUGUAAUAGCAAACCGUGUCCUGCCAGUUUGUUACUGACAGCUAAACCGGAUAAAAAUAUUCGUCGGGUUGAAAAACGCAACAAAAAUCGAAUACCAACUAUGUCAAAAUAUGGCAACAAAGGCAAUAACUCUUUGCAAAAGUAAAGCUUCAUGGAGCUGGUCAGAUGGCAUUACCAUGGUCAGACGCAACCAAGCCCCCCGAAAGGCGUAGCGAUGGUGCUAGUCGGCCAGGUCCCCAAAAGACUCUUGGCGAGUACGCCGGCCAAGUGGCAUGACAUUGGUUCGGGUUCGACCAAGCCUCCAAGUGACGCUGGCCCUAUUGGCCGACCAAGAGGCGUGACCGGUUCAGACGUGACCGUGUCCCCAAAUGAUCUGGUGGCUUUCGCCUAUCAAGAGGUGUUGCGUUGGUUCGUACACGACCAAGCCCCCAAGUGAUAAAUAUAACUGUCAAGGGGUAAACCGGAGGCCGCUUUAAAAACAGAAGCACUCCAUGUAACCACACAUGAAAAUAAAGACAGAGACCCCGCUUUAGCUGAGGCCCUGAUUUUUAUUAUAUCAAAGAUAAUAUAUACAUUGUCAUGCUAUGUACAUAAACUGAGCCGAUGACUCAAGUGUAGUAAGGUCGAAGAUGAGCUAUAUUCCACGGCCGAUUGGUCUCCUCCUCUGAUGUACGUGAGUCUUUACGCUCUCGAAUAUCAACCAGAUAGUAGGAACCGUUGUGUAGAUUCUUGCUGACCACAAAGGGUCCUUCCCAAGGCGGGGAUAACUUGUGCAUAUCUGUCUGGUCUUGGAUGAGACGAAGCACCAAAUCUCCUUCCUGAAAGGCUCUGGUCUUAAGCCGGCGGCUGUGAUAACGACGAAGAUCUUGCUGGUAAAUCGCCGAACGAGCGGCUGCCAAAUCACACUCCUCAUCCAAUAGGUCCAAAGCGUCCUGUCGUGCCACCUCGUUGUCCGCUUCAACAUAAGCCGCUACACGGGGCGAAUCGUGCCUGAUAUCACUGGGGAGAACUGCUUCUGCUCCAUAAACCAUGAAGAAAGGUGUGUAGCCAGUAGACCGGUUUGGCGUAGUAUUGAUACUCCAUAGUACCGAUGGGAGCUCUUCAACCCAGCACCCUGGUGUUCUCUGUAAUGGAACCAGAAGUCGGGGUUUGAUGCCUCGCAAGAUUUCCUGAUUAGCACGUUCUGCCUGCCCGUUGGACUGGGGGUGGGCCACUGACGAUACGUCAAGCCGGAUAUGCUCACGUUCACAGAAUUCUUUCAUAGCUCCCUUGGACAGAUUAGUGCCAUUGUCAGUAAUGAUACUGUGUGGAAAGCCAAACCGGAAAAUCACCUUUUUGAUGAACUGCACCGCUGUUGCCGCAUCACACUUACUGACAGGUUCCGCUUCAACCCACUUGGUGAACUUGUCCACUACCACCAACAGGUGGGUCUUCUUAUCUUUGGAUCGCUUAAAGGGCCCAACCAUAUCCAGCCCCCAGGUCGCAAACGGCCACGUUAUUGGGAUCAUCCGCAAUUCCUGUGCCGGUACAUGAGCACGCCUGGAGAAUUUCUGACAUCCAUCGCACCGUUUGACCAAGUCCUCCGCAUCAGCAUGAGCAGUUAACCAGUAAAAUCCAUGACGGAAUGCCUUUGCCACCAGGGACUUUGAACCGGCGUGAUGCCCGCAAUCCCCUUCAUGGAUUUCUUUUAAAAUUUCACAACCUUCCUCAGGGGAAACACAGCGUUGAAACACCCCUGAAACACUGCAAUGAUGCAACUCACCAUUAAGAAUCGUCAUAGAUUUGGAGCGCCGGAUUAUCUGUCUGGCCAGAACCUCAUCGUCUGGCAACUCUCCUCGAGUCAUAUACGCAAGGUAAGGAACCGUCCAAUCCGGAAUAGCAUGUACUGCUGCCACCAACUGAGCCUCCGGAUCAGGAAUUGCCAAAUCUGCUUCACCAGGGAGCUGAACCGACGGGUUGUGCAAGACGUCCAGAAAGACAUUAGGUGGAACCGGUUUACGCUGAGAACCCAAACGGCUUAAAGCGUCUGCCGCUUCGUUCUUCCGGCGAUCCACAUGAUCCACUUGAUAGCCUUUGAAGCAACCUGCAAUAUUAUCCACUUCUCGACGAUAUGCAGCCAUGAGGGGGUCCUUAGAAUCCCAAGUGCCAGAUACUUGCUGAGCCACCAGGUCCGAGUCACCAAAGCACUUAACCCGGCUUAAGUUCAUCUCCUUAGCCAUUCGGAGACCAUGGAGCAAGGCUUCGUACUCAGCUGCAUUAUUAGUACAAGGGAACAUUAGACGGAGAACGUAACAAAACUUAUCACCUCGUGGGGAAGUUAAAACGACUCCAGCCCCCGAGCCUUCCAAUUGUCUGGAUCCGUCAAAAUUAAUAGUCCAGUAUGUGUGAUCCGGCUUCUCCUCUGGUGCUUGUAGCUCUGUCCAGUCAUUAAUGAAAUCAACAAGGGCUUGUGACUUUACUGCUGUGCGCGGUAUAUACUUUAGCCCAUGCGGCCCAAGCUCGAUGGCCCAUUUUGCAAUCCGGCCAGUCGCCUCCCGGUUUUGUAUGAUAUCACCCAAAGGAGCUGAACUAACCACUGUAAUAGGAUGCCCUUGGAAAUAUUGUUUCAGCUUCCGGCUGGCCAUAAAAACACCAUAGACUAGCUUUUGCCAAUGCGGAUAUCUCUGCUUGGACUCAAUAAGCACCUCACUGAUAUAAUAAACCGGCCGUUGAACCGGAUAUUCCUUUCCUGCCUCCUUGCGUUCUACCACAAUGGCUACGCUCACUGCUCGAGCAUUGGCUGCCACAUAUAACAACAGCGGUUCCUUGUCAAUCGGAGCCGCAAGAACAGGCGGGUUGGCCAAUUGCCGCUUUAGAUCCUCAAAGGCUUCAUCAGCAGCUGGACUCCAGACAAAAUUAUCCGUCUUCCUCAGCAUCUGGUAUAGGGGGAUGGCCUUCUCUCCGAGGCGGCUGAUAAACCGGCUCAACGCAGCAAUCCGGCCCGCCAGGCGUUGAACAUCGUUGAUACACUUCGGUUUAGCCAAGGAAGUGAUGGCUUUAAUUUUCUCCGGAUUAGCCUCGAUUCCUCUGUUAGACACCAGGAACCCCAAUAACUUGCCAGCCGGAACACCAAAAACGCACUUGGCCGGAUUAAGCAUCAUCUUAUAAAUGCGCAAGUUGUCGAAGGUCUCCUUCAAAUCUUCCACCAGUGUCUCCUUUUGUCUUGAUUUCACCACAAUGUCAUCUACAUAAGCAUGCACAUUGCGGCCAAUCUGCGUAUGCAAGCAAUUCUGCACACACCGCUGAUAAGUAGCCUGGGCACUCUUGAGCCCAAAGGGCAUAGAUACAUAGCAGAAGGCUCCAAAGGGAGUUAUAAACGCUGUUUUCUCCUGGUCUUUAACCGCCAUUUUGAUCUGAUGAUAUCCAGAGUACGCGUCCAAAAAACUUAAGCGCUCACAUCCUGCCGUGGCAUCAAUAAUCUGAUCAAUGCGGGGGAGAGCAAAAGGAUCUGCUGGGCAAGCCUUGUUGAGAUCUGUGUAGUCCACACACAUACGCCAGGUGCCGUUUUUCUUAAGGACCAGCACCGGAUUAGCAAGCCACUCCGGAUGAAACACCUCAAUGAUAAAGCCAGCCGCCAGAAGCCUGGCUACUUCUUCCCCAAUAGCCUUGCGCCUUUCUUCAUUAAACCGGCGGAGAAACUGUUUCACCGGUUUAUACUUAGGAUCCACAUUAAGUGUGUGCUCAGCGAGUUCCCUCGGUACACCUGGCAUGUCAGAUGGCUUCCAUGCAAAGAUGUCCCGGUUCUCACGGAUGAACUCGAUGAGCGCGCCUUCCUAUUUGGGGUCCAGGUUGGCACUGACAGUGAACUGUUUGGAUGAAUCGCCUGGCACAAAGUCAACAAGCUUGGUCUCAGCUGCCGAUUUAAACUUCAGAUCCGAUUCAUGCUCUGUAGUGGGUUUCUUCAAAGGGGUCAUAUCUGCCGGAUCAACAUUGUCCUUAUAGAACUUUAACUCCUCCGUGGCACAGACCGCCUCUGCAUAAGCUGCAUCUCCUUCCUCACAUUCCAAAGCGACUCGGCGGCUUCCAUGCACCGUUAUCGUUCCUUUGUAACCCGGCAUUUUGAGCUGCAAGUAAAUAUAACAAGGCCGUGCCAUGAACUUAGCAUAAGCUGGCCGUCCAAACAAGGCAUGAUAUGGACUCCGGAUUUUCACCACUUCAAAAGUUAGCUUUUCAGACCGGGAAUCAUGCUCAUCUCCAAAAGCCACAUCCAGGGCUAUCUUACCAACAGGAUAAGCAGAUUUGCCUGGUACUACACCAUGGAACACCGUAUUGGACGGUCUGAGAUCUUUGUCUGUGAGACCCAUGCGACGGAAAGUUUCAUAGUAUAAUAUAUUGAUGCUGCUUCCUCCAUCCAUAAGCACCUUAGUAAACUUAUAGCUCCCAACCUGAGGAUCUACCACUAAUGCCAGCUGACCCGGAUUAUCAACCCGGGGGGGAUGGUCCUCUCUGCUCCAUACGAUAGGCUGCUCUGACCAGCGCAAAUACCGCGGCAAAGCCGGUUCAACAGAAUUUACUGCCCGUUUGUGAAGCUUCCGAUCCCGCUUGUCCAAACUGGUUGUGAAAACAUGAUACUGCCCGCCAUUCAACUGCUUUGGUUGGCUCUGAUAGCCUGACUGUUGCUGCUGCUGCUGGCCACCUUGAUUACUCUGAUUAUUGAGAUUGCCCUGGUUAUGCCCUGAACCAGAAGCUCCGUCCUGACCCGGCCCAUGGAAACCGGAUCCUGAACCACCACCUGACCCCUGGUCAUAUCGGAAAGCAUCGGAAUUUUUGAACUCCUGCAUAAUAUAACAAUCUUUCCAAAGAUGAUUCGAUGGGGAUUCCUUCGUUCCAUGCUUGGGACAAGGCUGAUUCAACAAGUAAUUCAAACGGUUUGCACUAGCAUUUGGACCCCGAUUCGCCUUGCCUUUGCGCCGCGGGCCUCUGUCCUGCGCAUUAGUGUUGGCUACGAAAUCCGGAUUACCAUCAGCCUUGCGCUUGCCCCCGUUUCCAUGACCUGCCGGUUUGAAAUGCUGCUGCUUGGAGUUGCCGUUCUUCUUUCCCUUCCCUGCUUCAUCAUCAUCUGCUUCAGGAUCCUUGGUACUGUCUGAAUCGGCAUAUUUUACCAAAGCGGCCAUGAGGGUUCCCAUAUCAUUGCAGAACCGCUUCAUACGUCCCAGCUUAAAUUUCAAAGGCUCAAACCGGCAGUUGCUUUCCAAUGUUAUGAUCGCCGAGUCAGCAUUGAUCCGGUCCGAAGAGUGCAAAAUCUCAGACACACGGCGUACCCAACGGGUUGUUGACUCCCCUUCUUCCUGAACGCAAGCCGCCAGGUCUACUAUGGACUUGGGCUGCUUACAUGUAUCCUUGAAAUUCUGGAUAAACCGGGCCCGUAGCUGACCCCAUGAACUGAUAGAAUUGGGCGGCAAGCUUUUCAACCAAGUACGCGCUGUGCCCUCCAUCAUCAUGGUGAAGUACUUUGCACACGCGGCUUCAUCAACAUCUAGCAUCUCCAUGGCCAUCUCAUAACUCUCAACCCACGCUUCAGGGGAUAGAUCUGCAGUGUAAUUUGGCACCUUGCGCGGGCCUUUAAAAUCCUUAGGCAGACGCACAUUGCGUAAAGCGGGGAUUAAACAGGGCACUCCCAAAGCGGAUGUGACUCCUGGUCCGGCGAAGGUGGUAGGGCGAACCGGUGUGUGUUGAUCCGCUUCAUCCUGCGCUGCUAACUCAGCCUCUCUGCGUGCCCGGGCCCGAUCCACCACCUCCUGAGCAUCACGACCGCCGCCUAUCUGGUGAUUGCCUCGGGCCGCUUCACGGUCCCGCGCGUUACUUGAUAGGGCCGGUUCAUCCAUGCGCCUGCUGUAGCUCCGGCUUGGAUGGGGCGUAGAGUGAAUCCGAUCGCGGCUGUAUGAAUACGCUUCCUGCUGGAUCAGUGCAGUCCGGAGAAGCUCCUUAACCCGGCGUGUCUCAACUGCUUGUGGGGAGUCUCCUUCGACUGGGAUCGCCUCCAAUCGUGUCGCAGCCGCAACAAGGUUGUCCAUAGGGUUGGAGUAAUGGCCCGGGGGCGUCUGUACCGGCGGAGGAAUCACCGUAUUCUGGUGCGGGGGCUCCAUUAGGCGCGGUUGGACCGUCGCUCCCGCUCCUGGUGCCUCAAUCCGGUUUACCUCCUUGUGCUGGGGCGGGUUACUGGGUCUGGCUCCGGGGGUCUGAAAGAGGUUUCUAGGGUCAAAUCCUGAUGGCAGGCGCGAUCUGUACUUCCGCCUUAACACCUCCUGCGACGCGCUCUGGUCGAGCAUGAGUUUGUAAGCUUGUGCAUCCAAAGCGGCCCGCUCUGCAGCCAUACGCUCCUUCUCUGCUGCUAGAUCCGCUUUGGCUUGCGCGAUCUGCUCUUUCACCUUCGCAAUUUCUGCGUUAUGAGCCUCCUGAUCUGCUGGAUUGUCCUCCGCCAUGAGCGCUGCUAGUGCAUCAAACAGAUCUGACAGAACUUGAACCGGCGGUCGCACCGGGCCUCCUGUCCCUGCUGCCGCUGCUGAAUCGGAAAGCAUUGCUGCUGCGGUUGAAGAGAGGUUUGCUGCUUGCGUACCGGCCAUGAACACUCCAACCCGGUUUAGCUGGCUUGGGGGGUCCGGAAUACUGUCACCGUCGGAACAGCCCCUGAUCAUAUCAUCCUGCAACUGGUACAAUGACUCGGUCUCUCCUGCUGAAGAUUCAUCGCCGGAGUAAACGACGGUCUCGCUACCGUGCUCUGAACCGGCAUCAUACUCCCCUUCAUGGGUGACUCCAACGAAGACAUGCUUCACGGCCGGUUUAGCCCGGGCUGGUCGCGCGCGCUGAGCCGUCUCGACGAGGUCGGUGCAGAUGUCCGGCUCAGGUCCAGGCCCUCUGAUCUUGCCGAUGAAAACGUGUAUGCCGCCGAAGGGGACCCGGUAUCCAUACUCGAUUGAAUCGGCCUCGGGACCCCAUCCAGCAUCGUCGAUGUAGAUCCGGCCGCGACGACUCUUGGUCAUCCGGCCCACGACGUAGCCUUCGAGUCCUUUGAGCGUGCCCUCCAAGAUCGUCAAACCAUCGUGCGAUAGCCCCACGGUGGGCGCCAACUGUCGUGGAUUUGUCACGGCAGAUGUCCUAGCAUAAGGACUUAGUCGUGGAGCCAUCGCUACGGGUUUACUUGUAGGGGUUAAAGCGGACACAAAGACACGAGAGUUUUAUACUAGUUCGGCCCCUUCGAUGAAGGUAAAAGCCUACGUCUAGUUGUGAUGGAAUUGAUGUAGUCUCGAUGGCUAGGGAGCAAAUAAGCUUCGCCUAGGCUCGAGUUGUGGUUGUCUGUCCUUGAACCGCCGCCGGGUCGUCCCCUUAUAUACACGAGUGACGCCUGUCGGUUCGUAGAGUCCCAACCGGUUCAUACUCGUAUCCCGGUUGGUAUCUCUCUAUUCCUAACUUACAACACAAGUCAUAUAUCAGGCCGGUUUACGGCUACAAGUUCCAAACCAACUACAGGCCUUGGGCCUUUCUAUGAUUACACCACCAGCGGAGCUAACCCGGCCCAAGCUUGGCCGGUUUACACCUAGUAGUAAUAUCCCCAACA
RNAcentral lists this long non-coding RNA (12996 nucleotides) under Triticum aestivum (bread wheat). Its description in RNAcentral is "long non-coding RNA (TAES_LNC007739)". Lineage: Eukaryota; Viridiplantae; Streptophyta; Magnoliopsida; Poales; Poaceae. The record is from RNAcentral.